RNAcentral lists this transfer RNA (81 nucleotides) under Cordylochernes scorpioides. Its description in RNAcentral is "tRNA-Thr". The stretch from base 12 to 69 matches the Rfam family "tRNA", at positions 8 to 63 of the family's 71-position model. From Rfam's summary of the family: Transfer RNA (tRNA) molecules are approximately 80 nucleotides in length. Their secondary structure includes four short double-helical elements and three loops (D, anti-codon, and T loops). Further hydrogen bonds mediate the characteristic L-shaped molecular structure. tRNAs have two regions of fundamental functional importance: the anti-codon, which is responsible for specific mRNA codon recognition, and the 3' end, to which the tRNAs corresponding amino acid is attached (by aminoacyl-tRNA synthetases). tRNAs cope with the degeneracy of the genetic code in two manners: having more than one tRNA (with a specific anti-codon) for a particular amino acid; and 'wobble' base-pairing, i.e. permitting non-standard base-pairing at the 3rd anti-codon position. Lineage: Eukaryota; Metazoa; Arthropoda; Arachnida; Pseudoscorpiones; Chernetidae. The record is from RNAcentral.
AGUGUUCCGCUUAGCCUAGUGGACAUGGCAUCUGCCCGGUAAGCGGAACACUGUGGGUUCGACUCCCAUCCCUGGACACUU